Molecule: ribosomal RNA, 458 nt
Filed under: uncultured bacterium
Lineage: Bacteria
Description: partial 16S ribosomal RNA
Rfam family: Bacterial small subunit ribosomal RNA
Source: RNAcentral
CCUACGGGUGGCAGCAGUGAGGAAUAUUGGUCAAUGGGCGAGAGACUGAACCAGCCAAGUCGCGUGAGGGAGUACUGCCCAAUGGGUUGUAAACCUCUUUUGUCGGGGAGCAAAAGCCGGACGUGUACGGCUGUGAGAGUACCCGAAGAAAAAGCAUCGGCUAACUCCGUGCCAGAAGCCGCGGUAAUACGGAGGAUGCGAGCGUUAUCCGGAUGUAUUUGGUUUAAAGGGUGCGCAGGCGGAUUUUUAAGUCAGCGGUCAAAGCGUGGGGCUCAACCCCAUCCAGCCGUUGAAACUGGGGAUCUAGAGUGUGCGAGAGGUAUGCGGAAUGCGUGGUGUAGCGGUGAAAUGCAUAGAUAUCACGCAGAACCCCGAUUGCGAAGGCAGCAUACCGGUGCACAACUGACGCUCAGGCACGAAAGCGUGGGUAUCGAACAGGAUUAGAUACCCUUGUAGUC